RNAcentral lists this ribosomal RNA (253 nucleotides) under uncultured bacterium. Its description in RNAcentral is "partial 16S ribosomal RNA". It matches the Rfam family "Bacterial small subunit ribosomal RNA", at positions 524 to 776 of the family's 1533-position model. The record is from RNAcentral.
UACAGAGGGGGCCAGCGUUAUUCGGAAUUAUUGGGCGUAAAGCGCGCGUAGGCGGUUACUUAAGUCGGAUGUGAAAGCCCUCGGCUUAACUGAGGAAGUGCACCCGAAACUGAGUAGCUAGAGUACGAAAGAGGGUCGCGGAAUUCCCGGUGUAGAGGUGAAAUUCGUAGAUAUCGGGAGGAACACCGGUGGCGAAGGCGGCGACCUGGGUCGAGACUGACGCUGAGGCGCGAAAGCGUGGGGAGCAAACAGG